This 574-nucleotide small RNA is filed under the name Mycoplasmoides pneumoniae M129. Its description in RNAcentral is "Mycoplasma pneumoniae M129 ncRNA". The record is from RNAcentral. Lineage: Bacteria; Bacillati; Mycoplasmatota; Mycoplasmoidales; Mycoplasmoidaceae.
GGAUAGCUCCAAUAAUCCGUUAAUAGUGCUUUUUAGCAGUCAAAUUUGAAACUUUUAGUGUCUUAAUUUGUGUUUUGCUAGUAACGCUUGGAAACGUUGUAAUUGGGUUGAACUACCACGAACAAUUUGCUUCGUAUCCAAGUUGUAAAUUAAGGACGGUUCGUUAUUACUUUUAAAGCUGUUUUGCACAAUAAAACAGUUCUGCUGCACUCAGUAAGGAUCGUUCUGGUAAGCGCUUAACUUGCCAAAUGGUUUUUGUUUAGCUUGAUUAGCACUGGUACAGUAAAUUAAACCAACCGUUUUUAAGAGCUUUAACAGCUGUGGGCUGUUGGGUAGACGAUAGCUCUGUCCAUCUACAAUAAAGGUGUAAGCACCUGGUCAAAACAGUUUGGCUAGCUUUUGUAAUUGUUUGGGUAACUGGUUAAUUUGACUAGGUGCUAAAAACUGGACGUAGUGCUUGUUGGGAUCGCGUUGUUUAAUGUGGUCUAAAUCUUGUUGGCAAUAACUCAUUAAUCCUAUUUGCGUGUCGGUGGGGAUAAUGGCCGUCAUCCCCUUGUCUAGCAGUGCUUUAAUU